RNAcentral lists this ribosomal RNA (520 nucleotides) under uncultured bacterium. RNAcentral describes it as "bacterial SSU rRNA". It matches the Rfam family "Bacterial small subunit ribosomal RNA", at positions 17 to 518 of the family's 1533-position model. The record is from RNAcentral.
AUCUGGUUCAGAUUGAACGCUGGCGGCGUGCUUAACACAUGCAAGUCGAACGUGAAAGGGGCUUCGGCCCUAAGUAAAGUGGCGCACGGGUGAGUAACACGUGGAUAAUCUGCCCUUAUGAUCGGGAUAACAGUCGGAAACGGCUGCUAAUACCGGAUACGCUCAAAAUGAACUUUUUUGAGGAAAGGUGACCUCUGCUUGCAAGUUACUGCAUGAGGAUGAGUCCGCGGCCCAUUAGCUAGUUGGUAGGGUAACGGCCUACCAAGGCAACGAUGGGUAGCCGAUUUGAGAGGAUGAUCGGCCACACUGGGACUGAAACACGGCCCAGACUCCUACGGGAGGCAGCAGUGGGGAAUAUUGCGCAAUGGGCGAAAGCCUGACGCAGCGACGCCGCGUGAGGGAUGAAAGGUUUUCGGAUCGUAAACCUCUGUCAGAAGGGAAGAAACCGCACCGUGCUAAUCAGCGGUGCAUUGACGGUACCUUCAAAGGAAGCACCGGCUAACUCCGUGCCAGCAGCUGC